This 253-nucleotide ribosomal RNA is filed under the name uncultured bacterium. RNAcentral describes it as "partial 16S ribosomal RNA". It matches the Rfam family "Bacterial small subunit ribosomal RNA", at positions 524 to 776 of the family's 1533-position model. RNAcentral also lists the same sequence under 1 other name. The record is from RNAcentral.
UACGGAGGGUGCAAGCGUUAUCCGGAUUUACUGGGUUUAAAGGGUGUGUAGGCGGGCCUUUAAGUCUGGGGUGAAAUCUCCGAGCUCAACUCGGAAACUGCCCUGGAUACUAUUGGUCUUGAAUUAUGUUGAGGUUGGCGGAAUAUAACAUGUAGCGGUGAAAUGCAUAGAUAUGUUAUAGAACACCGAUUGCGAAGGCAGCUAACUAAGCAUAUAUUGACGCUGAGGCACGAAAGCGUGGGGAUCAAACAGG